This 1825-nucleotide ribosomal RNA is filed under the name human gut metagenome. RNAcentral's name for it is "bacterial LSU rRNA". It matches the Rfam family "Bacterial large subunit ribosomal RNA", at positions 1102 to 2925 of the family's 2925-position model. The record is from RNAcentral.
UGGCUUAGAAGCAGCCAUCCUUCAAAGAAAGCGUAAUAGCUCACUGAUCGAGUCUUUCUGCGCGGAAGAUGUAACGGGGCUAAGUCAAUAACCGAAGCCGCGGAUUCACACUUGUGUGUGAGUGGUAGGGGAGCGUUCUGUAAGCCUGCGAAGGUGACUCGUAAGGGUUGCUGGAGGUAUCAGAAGUGCGAAUGCUGACAUGAGUAACGUUAAAGCGGGUGAAAAGCCCGCUCGCCGUAAGCCCAAGGUUUCCUGCUCUACGUUCAUCGGAGCAGGGUGAGUCGGCCCCUAAGGUGAGGCUGAGAAGCGUAACUGAUGGGAACAAGGUUAAUAUUCCUUGACCACCGCUGAAUGCGAAGGGGGGACGGAGUAUUGAAGAUCAUCCGGGUGUUGGAUAUCCCGGUUUGCGAGCGUAGGAGGCUGACAGGCAAAUCCGUCAGCGAAUCUCCGAGGCAAAGCAUCGAGCUCUCUUUUGAGCGAAGUGAUUGGAUGUGCUUCCAGGAAAAGCCUCUAAGCUCCAGUUCAGCGGGACCGUACCGCAAACCGACACUGGUGGGCGAGCUGAAUAUGCUCAGGCGCUUGAGAGAACUCAGGAGAAGGAACUCGGCAAAUUGACACCGUAACUUCGGGAUAAGGUGUGCCUUUGUAGCGUGGAGGGAGAAACACCCCGAGCGCGAAGAGGUCUCAGAUAAUCGGUGGCUGCGACUGUUUAUUAAAAACACAGCACUCUGCAAAGACGAAAGUCGACGUAUAGGGUGUGAUGCCUGCCCGGUGCUGGAAGAUUAAUUGAUGGGGUGCAAGCUCCUGAUCGAAGUCCCAGUAAACGGCGGCCGUAACUAUAACGGUCCUAAGGUAGCGAAAUUCCUUGUCGGGCAAGUUCCGACCUGCACGAAUGGCAUAACGAUGGCCACACUGUCUCCUCCUGAGACUCAGUGAAGUUGAAGUGUUUGUGAUGAUGCAAUCUCCCCGCGGCUAGACGGAAAGACCCCAUGAACCUUUACUGUAGCUUUGCAUUGGACUUUGAACCGAUCUGUGUAGGAUAGGCGGGAGCCUGUGAAACCACAACGCCAGUUGUGGCGGAGGCGUCCUUGAAAUACCGCCCUGAUUUGUUUGAGGUUCUAACCUGGGACAGUCAUCCUGUCCGGGGACCGUGCAUGGUAGGCAGUUUGACUGGGGCGGUCUCCUCCUAAAGGGUAACGGAGGAGUGCGAAGGUACGCUAGGUACGGUCGGAAAUCGUGCUGAUAGUGCAAUGGCAAAAGCGUGCUUGACUGCGAGACCCACAAGUCGAGCAGAUACGAAAGUAGGUCAUAGUGAUCCGGUGGCUCUGUAUGGAAGGGCCAUCGCUCAACGGAUAAAAGGUACUCUGGGGAUAACAGGCUGAUACCGCCCAAGAGUUCAUAUCGACGGCGGUGUUUGGCACCUCGAUGUCGGCUCAUCUCAUCCUGGGGCUGUAGCCGGUCCCAAGGGUAUGGCUGUUCGCCAUUUAAAGAGGUACGUGAGCUGGGUUUAAAACGUCGUGAGACAGUUUUGUCCCUAUCUGCCGUGGGCGCUGGAAGAUUGACGGGGGCUGCUCCUAGUACGAGAGGACCGGAGUGGACUCACCUCUGGUGUACCGGUUGUCACGCCAGUGGCAUCGCCGGGUAGCUAUGUGGGGAAGAGAUAACCGCUGAAAGCAUCUAAGCGGGAAACUUGCCUGAAGAUAAGUCUUCCUGGAGGCUAGACCUCCCUAAAGAGUCGUUCGAGACCAGGACGUUGAUAGGAUGGGUGUGUAAGUGCUGUGAGGCACUCAGCUAACCAUUACUAAUUGCUCGUGAAGCUUGAUCC